UUCAGUUCUUUUCACUUAUGAUACUUUUAAUGGAAAUUUAAAAGAACUGCUCUUACUGUAAUUUAAGAACAUAUGUACGUACUUGAUUAAUAUGUUCAGUGGCAGCAAGUUGAGGUUAUUGUUAUGUAAUUUGAGAUUUGGUCCCUGAAUUUGGAAAUUUGAUUAGGUUGUCCUGGUAUGAUGAGGAAUAUUAAAUAUGUUCAAUUAGCAAAUUUUGACAGAAACUACUAAUGACUGAAAUGAUUGGACUAGGGUUUUUAAAUCGAAAUGUAGGAAUGCAUUUUUAACUUUUAAACUACAUUGAUCAAAUCUCAAAUUCUAUACAAGUAUUGGGUCUAACCUUACAUUUUAACCUUUAGAAAUUUUGCAUGGUUAGUGAAAAAUUAGUAAAUACAAGUUGCAUCGACGAUACCUGUUUAUGUUGUAUCUCAUUGAUAAAACAACAUAAUUUAGUAGAAUUAGGAGCUGAAUGAAAGCUCCAUAGGUCUACUGUUGCAUUUAGAAAUUUUUUGGUCUCAAGCUGCCAGUUCACUUCUUAAUAUAUUUGCUUGUUUACUUCAACCCAUCUCUGGGUUUCGGUCCAUAUUUGUUGUUCAUUUGGUCUUGGUUUGAACAUUCGUGUUCCAGUGUUUGAUCGACGAUUUGGAGUUCAAUAUUUUAAAUUGCUUCAUUCUAUUUGUUUUUGCACUUUAAAAGAAUUCUGUUGGGUUUGAUAUCGUAAUUUUGCACAAACAGGUCGGAGCUCCUGCUCGUGUUGGUCUAGUUGCACCAAUUGAUGUGGUUGUUCCACCAGGCAACACUGGGCUUGACCCAUCACAGACCUCUUUCUUCCAGGUAAUGUCACUGUUCUGAUUUUUGCGUGUUCUACUUGUCUGAGUCAAAACUCAAUUCUGAUUGUAAAUUUCUUAUUACGUUUUAGGUGCUGAAUAUUCCAACCAAGAUUAACAAGGGUACUGUCGAAAUUAUCACCCCUGUCGAGCUUAUCAAGAAAGGUGAAAAGGUUGGUUCUUCUGAGGCUGCACUUCUUGCCAAGCUUGGAAUCAGGCCCUUCUCAUACGGUCUUGUCGUCCUAUCUGUUUACGACAAUGGCUCAGUCUUUAGCCCUGAGGUCCUGGAUCUCACCGAGGAAGACCUGAUUGAGAAAUUUGCUACUGGUGUCUCCAUGGUCACCGCAUUGUCUCUUGCCAUCUCAUACCCAACUCUUGCUGCUGCACCACACAUGUUCAUCAAUGCAUACAAGAACGUCUUGUCUGUCGCAGUUGCAACAGAGUAUUCUUUCCCUC
This 1283-nucleotide long non-coding RNA is filed under the name Gossypium raimondii (Peruvian cotton). Its description in RNAcentral is "long non-coding RNA (GRAI_LNC010231)". The record is from RNAcentral. Lineage: Eukaryota; Viridiplantae; Streptophyta; Magnoliopsida; Malvales; Malvaceae.